GAAGAAGGCUGGGGGCGUGCUUAACACAUGCAAGUCGAACGGAAAGGCCCUGCUUUUGUGGGGUGCUCGAGUGGCGAACGGGUGAGUAACACGUGAGUAACCUGCCCUUGACUUUGGGAUAACUUCAGGAAACUGGGGCUAAUACCGGAUAGGAGCUCCUGCUGCAUGGUGGGGGUUGGAAAGUUUCGGCGGUUGGGGAUGGACUCGCGGCUUAUCAGCUUGUUGGUGGGGUAGUGGCUUACCAAGGCUUUGACGGGUAGCCGGCCUGAGAGGGUGACCGGCCACAUUGGGACUGAGAUACGGCCCAGACUCCUACGGGAGGCAGCAGUGGGGAAUAUUGCACAAUGGGCGGAAGCCUGAUGCAGCAACGCCGCGUGCGGGAUGACGGCCUUCGGGUUGUAAACCGCUUUCGCCUGUGACGAAGCGUGAGUGACGGUAAUGGGUAAAGAAGCACCGGCUAACUACGUG
RNAcentral lists this ribosomal RNA (468 nucleotides) under uncultured bacterium. RNAcentral's name for it is "partial 16S ribosomal RNA". It matches the Rfam family "Bacterial small subunit ribosomal RNA", at positions 28 to 507 of the family's 1533-position model. The record is from RNAcentral.